Molecule: ribosomal RNA, 465 nt
Filed under: uncultured bacterium
Lineage: Bacteria
Description: partial 16S ribosomal RNA
Rfam family: Bacterial small subunit ribosomal RNA
Source: RNAcentral
GACGAACGCUGGCGGCGUGCUUAACACAUGCAAGUCGUACGGUAAGGCCCUUUCGGGGGUACACGAGUGGCGGACGGGGGCGUAACACGAGAGUAACCUUCCCCCAACUUUGGGAUAACGCUAGGAAACUGGUGCUAAUACUGGAAAUGUGCUACUGCUGCAUGGUGGGGGUUGGAAAGCUCCGGCGGGUGUUGGUGGACUCGCGGCCUAUCAGCUUGUUGGUGGGGCGGUGGCCUACCAAGGCGGCGGCGGGUAGCCGGCCUGUGUGGGUGACCCGCCACCCUGGGACUGAGGUACGGCCCCGACUCCUACGGGAGGCAGCAGUGCGGAAUCUUGCACGAGGGGCGCCAGCCGGAUGCAGCAGCGCCGCGGGCGGGAUGACGGCCUUCGGGUUGAAAACCGAUUUCAGCAGGGACGAAGCUUUUUGUGACGGUACCUGCAGAAGAAGCACCGGCUAACUACGUG